CGACGUGAGUAACCUGCCUCUAAGAGGGGAAGUAACAUUCUGAAAAGAAUGCUAAUACCGCAUAACAUAUAUUUAUCGCAUGGUAGAUAUAUCAAAGAUUUAUCGCUUAGAGAUGGACUCGCGUCCGAUUAGUUAGUUGGUGAGGUAACGGCUCACCAAGACCGCGAUCGGUAGCCGGACUGAGAGGUUGAACGGCCACAUUGGGACUGAGACACGGCCCAG
RNAcentral lists this ribosomal RNA (222 nucleotides) under uncultured bacterium. RNAcentral's name for it is "partial 16S ribosomal RNA". It matches the Rfam family "Bacterial small subunit ribosomal RNA", at positions 113 to 334 of the family's 1533-position model. The record is from RNAcentral.